AAUCAACGCUGGCGGCGUGCCUCAGACAUGCAAGUCGAACGAUUAAAGCUCUCUUCGGAGAGUGCAUAGAGUGGCGCACGGGUGAGUAACACGUAAGUAAUCUACCCGUCGAGUGGGGAACUAACGUCCGGAAACGGGACGCUAAUACCGCAUAAUGCAGCGGCACCGCAAGGUGACAGUUGUUAAAGAUUUAUCGCUUGAGGAGGAGCUUGCGGCAGAUUAGCUAGUUGGUAAGGUAAUGGCUUACCAAGGCUACGAUCUGUAACCGGUCUAAGAGGACGGUCGGUCACACUGACACUGAAUAACGGGUCAGACUCCUACGGGAGGCAGCAGUCGGGAAUUUUGGGCAAUGGGCGAAAGCCUGACCCAGCAACGCCGCGUGAAGGAUGAAGUAUUUCGGUAUGUAAACUUCGAAAGAAUAGGAAG
Molecule: ribosomal RNA, 426 nt
Filed under: uncultured bacterium
Lineage: Bacteria
Description: bacterial SSU rRNA
Rfam family: Bacterial small subunit ribosomal RNA
Source: RNAcentral